AUUUGAUUUUGAUUUUUUGCUCUCUCUUUUCUCCGGACGUUAGGCUGCCUCGAGGAACGCUAAAGGAGGAAUAAAAUGAGGUAGGACCGAGAAAUGAAGAAGAGCCAUUAAACAAAAUUCUGAACUUUGUUUCAGAUUCAGAGCAAUUAAAUAAAAAAAAUUCACAAAUCACAAAUAAUAUACUCUAAAAAUUUCAAUCCUAUUCCCCUUUGAUCACAAAGAUUGUGGCUUUGAAGAAAGGCAGAAGACCCCAAAUAUAGAAAAAGCACAAAACAAUAUCUCGAUAGAAAAACAAAAAGUACACAAAUGCAAAGAGAACUCGAUGGCUUUCUCAACGAGUUCUUGGAUGUAAUUCCCAUCGAAACAGCGAUGGCUAGCAUCAUAGACUAGACGAACGAGGGAAACAGGUUUGGUCUUGCUCAUGGGCACCACCCGGAUGUUUCAUUUGAAGCAUCUAAACAAUUUGGGAGUAAAGAGUUGAAAAGUUUGCUGUGAAUGGUUUGGGAGUUUCCUGGAAUCAAGGGUUUUGAUUUGGGGCUGUGGGGUUUUGAACGUAUUCAAAAUUUGGGAGUAAAGAGUUGAAAAGUUUGCUGUGAAUGGUUUGGGAGUUUCCUGGAAUCAAGGGUUUUGAACGUAUUUAAUACGUGAUUAAAUGUGUUAAUUAGUUAUAAGAGUACUAAUCAAAAUUCUCAUUUUUUGGGGGUAUUAAG
This 710-nucleotide long non-coding RNA is filed under the name Olea europaea subsp. europaea. Lineage: Eukaryota; Viridiplantae; Streptophyta; Magnoliopsida; Lamiales; Oleaceae. The record is from RNAcentral.